This 262-nucleotide ribosomal RNA is filed under the name uncultured archaeon. RNAcentral's name for it is "partial 16S ribosomal RNA". It matches the Rfam family "Archaeal small subunit ribosomal RNA", at positions 748 to 1009 of the family's 1478-position model. The record is from RNAcentral.
UGGCCGUAAACGAUGUGGACUUGGUGUUGGAAUGGCUCCGAGCUGCUCCAGUGCCGAAGGGAAGCUGUUAAGUCCACCGCCUGGGAAGUACGGUCGCAAGACUGAAACUUAAAGGAAUUGGCGGGGGGAGCACCACAACGGGUGGAGCCUGCGGUUUAAUUGGACUCAACGCCGGGAAGCUCACCGGAUAAGACAGCGGAAUGAUUGCCGGGCUGAAGACCCUGCAUGACCAGCUGAGAGGAGGUGCAUGGCGUAGUCGUGU